UUUCGCAAUGCCCGAAAGGGUGACGAAGCGACGCCGCGUGUGGGAAGAAGGCCUUCGGGUUGUAAACCACUGUCGGGAGUUAGGAAAUGCAGGUGCGUUAAUAGCGCACUUGCUUGACUAAGGCUCCAGAGGAAGCCACGGCUAACUCUGUGCCAGCAGCCGCGGUAAUACAGAGGCGGCAAGCGUUGUUCGGAAUUAUUGGGCGUAAAGAGCACGUAGGCGGCCUUGCAAGUCAGUUGUGAAAGCCUUCCGCUUAACGGAAGAACGGCAUCUGAUACUACAGGGCUUGAGUACGGGAGGGGAGAGUGGAACUUCUGGUGGAGCGGUGAAAUGCGUAGAUACCAGAAGGAACGCCGGCGGCGAAAGCGACUCUCUGGUCCGAAACUGGCGCUGAGUGUGCGAAAGCUAGGGGAGCAAACGGGAUUAGAUACCCCGGUAGUCCUAGCCGUAAACGAUGGGCACUAAGUAGAGGGGUUUU
This 478-nucleotide ribosomal RNA is filed under the name Planctomycete enrichment culture clone MSGTP06. RNAcentral describes it as "bacterial SSU rRNA". It matches the Rfam family "Bacterial small subunit ribosomal RNA", at positions 364 to 832 of the family's 1533-position model. Lineage: Bacteria; Pseudomonadati; Planctomycetota; Planctomycetia; Planctomycetales. The record is from RNAcentral.